UAUCGAAUGCUACAUUUACAUUG
This 23-nucleotide transfer RNA is filed under the name Bacopa eisenii. RNAcentral's name for it is "partial tRNA-Phe". The record is from RNAcentral. RNAcentral also lists the same sequence under 1 other name. Lineage: Eukaryota; Viridiplantae; Streptophyta; Magnoliopsida; Lamiales; Plantaginaceae.